UACAGAGGGUGCAAGCGUUGUUCGGAAUUAUUGGGCGUAAAGGGAGUGUAGGCGGUGAGUUAAGUCUUCUGUGAAAGCUGCGGGCUUAGCCUGCAAAGUGCAGAGGAAACUGGCUGACUUGAGUGUCGGAGAGGAUAGGGGAAUACCCAGUGUAGAGGUGAAAUUCGUAGAGAUUGGGUGGAACACCAGUGGCGAAGGCGCCUGUCUGGCUGACAACUGACGCUGAGACUCGAAAGCAUGGGGAGCAAACAGG
This 253-nucleotide ribosomal RNA is filed under the name uncultured bacterium. RNAcentral describes it as "partial 16S ribosomal RNA". It matches the Rfam family "Bacterial small subunit ribosomal RNA", at positions 524 to 776 of the family's 1533-position model. The record is from RNAcentral.